Molecule: transfer RNA, 73 nt
Filed under: Ignavibacteriales bacterium
Lineage: Bacteria; Pseudomonadati; Ignavibacteriota; Ignavibacteria; Ignavibacteriales
Also listed under: 1 other name
Description: tRNA-Gly
Rfam family: tRNA
About the family: Transfer RNA (tRNA) molecules are approximately 80 nucleotides in length. Their secondary structure includes four short double-helical elements and three loops (D, anti-codon, and T loops). Further hydrogen bonds mediate the characteristic L-shaped molecular structure. tRNAs have two regions of fundamental functional importance: the anti-codon, which is responsible for specific mRNA codon recognition, and the 3' end, to which the tRNAs corresponding amino acid is attached (by aminoacyl-tRNA synthetases). tRNAs cope with the degeneracy of the genetic code in two manners: having more than one tRNA (with a specific anti-codon) for a particular amino acid; and 'wobble' base-pairing, i.e. permitting non-standard base-pairing at the 3rd anti-codon position.
Source: RNAcentral
GCGGGAAUAGCUCAGUUGGUAGAGCGCAACCUUGCCAAGGUUGAAGUCGCGGGUUCAAGUCCCGUUUCCCGCU